RNAcentral lists this ribosomal RNA (315 nucleotides) under uncultured Mortierella. RNAcentral's name for it is "partial large subunit ribosomal RNA". It matches the Rfam family "Eukaryotic large subunit ribosomal RNA", at positions 40 to 350 of the family's 3401-position model. The record is from RNAcentral. Lineage: Eukaryota; Fungi; Mortierellomycota; Mortierellomycetes; Mortierellales; Mortierellaceae.
AUAUCAAUAAGCGGAGGAAAAGAAACUAACAAGGAUUCCCUUAGUAACGGCGAGUGAAGCGGGAAAAGCUCAAAUUUAAAAUCUGGCGGGGUACCCCGUCCGAGUUGUAGUUUCAAGAUACGUUUUCGGUGCGCGCCUGGGUAUAAGUCCUUUGGAACAGGGCAUCAUAGAGGGUGAGAAUCCCGUUUAUGAUCCGGAGCGGCGUACUAUGUGAUACGUUUUCAAAGAGUCGAGUUGUUUGGGAAUGCAGCUCAAAAUGGGUGGUAAAUUUCAUCUAAAGCUAAAUAUUGGCGAGAGACCGAUAGCGCACAAGUA